AAAGAAUUCAACAUAAAAGAUUCAUCUUGUAUAGCCUUAGCAGCUAAGAGGUGGGCUGCCCUAUUCCUAUCUCUUUUAACAAAGGAGAAGAGAGAAGAUGAAAACUCUUGAGCUAGGAAUAAAACAUCAUGAAUAAUUUCUUGAAUCUUUUGAGGAACAGAGGCACCCAUGAGACUGUUUAUCACUAUCUGGGAGAUGGUUCCCAUAUGCUUCUGAGAUCUUGUUGCAGCAUCAAAGUUGAUCUUAAAUGCACCAUGGCAAGGGGCAGACAAGAAUUGUCCAACUGCGUCAACAGAUACAGAGUGGAGAGGAGGUUCUUGGGCUAUGAAGAAUUCGUCAUGAUGAUAUGAAGCUGCUGUUAAUAGUUGUUGAAACUUCAAUGGCUGGUCAUUAAAAACUCGUCGGUUUCUAUUCUUCCAAAGUUGCCAUAGGAUAAAAACAAGAAGAGGUAUUAGCUUGUUAGCUUGAGGGUGGUUGUGAAGGGGU
RNAcentral lists this unclassified non-coding RNA (486 nucleotides) under Hevea brasiliensis (rubber tree). Lineage: Eukaryota; Viridiplantae; Streptophyta; Magnoliopsida; Malpighiales; Euphorbiaceae. The record is from RNAcentral.